Molecule: ribosomal RNA, 539 nt
Filed under: uncultured archaeon
Lineage: Archaea
Description: bacterial SSU rRNA
Rfam family: Archaeal small subunit ribosomal RNA
Source: RNAcentral
GGCAGCAGCCGCGGUAACACCGGCGGCCCGAGUGGUGAUCGUGAUUAUGGGUCUAAAGGGUCCGUAGCCGGUUUGGUCAGUCCUCCGGGAAAUCUGAUAGCUCAACUAUAGGCUUCGGGGGAUACUGCCAGACUUGGAACCGGGAGAGGUAAGAGGUACUACAGGGGUAGGAGUGAAAUCUUGUAAUCCCUGUGGGACCACCUGUGGCGAAGGCGUCUUACCAGAACGGGUUCGACGGUGAGGGACGAAAGCUGGGGGCACGAACCGGAUUAGAUACCCGGGUAGUCCCAGCCGUAAACGAUGCUCGCUAGGUGUCAGGCAUGGCGCGACCGUGUCUGGUGCCGCAGGGAAGCCGUGAAGCGAGCCACCUGGGAAGUACGGCCGCAAGGCUGAAACUUAAAGGAAUUGGCGGGGGAGCACAACAACGGGUGGAAGCCUGCGGUUUAAUUGGACUCAACGCCGGACAACUCACCGGGGGCGACAGCAAUAUGUAGGCCAAGCUGAAGACUUUGCCUGAAUCGCUGAGGGGAGGUGCAUGG